RNAcentral lists this ribosomal RNA (459 nucleotides) under uncultured bacterium. Its description in RNAcentral is "partial 16S ribosomal RNA". It matches the Rfam family "Bacterial small subunit ribosomal RNA", at positions 338 to 795 of the family's 1533-position model. The record is from RNAcentral.
CCUACGGGAGGCAGCAGUGAGGAAUAUUGGUCAAUGGACGCGAGCCUGAACCAGCCAAGCCGCGUGAAGGAAGACGGCUCUAUGGAUUGUAAACUUCUUUUGUACGGGAGCAAACGCCGCCACGCGUAUCUAUCCGAAAGUACCUGACGAAUAAGCAUCGGCUAACUCCGUGCCAGCAGCCGCGGUAAUACGGAGGAUGCGAGCGUUAUCCGGAUUUAUUGGGUUUAAAGGGUGCGCAGGCGGACGAUUAAGUCAGCGGUAAAAGUGCGGGGCUCAACCCCGUCGAGCCGUUGAAACUGGUUGUCUUGAGAGGGCGAGAGGUAUGCGGAAUGCGUAGUGUAGCGGUGAAAUGCUUAGAUAUUGCGCAGAACUCCGAUUGCGAAGGCAGCAUACCGGCGGUGAACUGACGCUGAGGCACGAAAGCGUGGGUAUCGAACAGGAUUAGAUACCCUAGUAGUC